UACCAGCACCCCGAGUGGUCGGGACGAUUAUUGGGCCUAAAGCAUCCGUAGCCGGUCCUGCAAGUCUUCCGUUAAAUCCAGCUGCUCAACAGAUGGGCUGCGGGAGAUACUACAGGGUUAGGAGGCGGGAGAGGCAAGCGGUACUUUAUGGGUAGGGGUAAAAUCCGCUGAUCCAUAGAAGACCACCAGUGGCGAAGGCGGCUUGCCAGAACGCGCUCGACGGUGAGGGAUGAAAGCUGGGGGAGCAAACCGG
Molecule: ribosomal RNA, 253 nt
Filed under: uncultured bacterium
Lineage: Bacteria
Description: partial 16S ribosomal RNA
Rfam family: Archaeal small subunit ribosomal RNA
Source: RNAcentral